RNAcentral lists this long non-coding RNA (642 nucleotides) under Zonotrichia albicollis (white-throated sparrow). RNAcentral describes it as "lncRNA (ENSZALG00000000860.1)". Lineage: Eukaryota; Metazoa; Chordata; Aves; Passeriformes; Passerellidae. The record is from RNAcentral.
AAUUAGCCCAGUACGUGUUUUCAUUGCUGAGGGGGCACAGGAUAAUGCUGCUAUCAGCUUCGUUAUUUACUUCAUCUCUGGCUCACUCAGCAGCUGCUUCCUUGAAUCAACAUGUCCCUACCAAAUUAUGUUUUGAACCAACUUGCUGCUCUGCCUUGAGGCAAUUUCCUGCCUGGUGCUGGCCACGAGGGGAUGGUGUCUGGCACUGUGCAGCUAUGGGGCACCAGGCAUGGGCUGUCACCUCCACCCGCACUCCAAGGUCACAGGAAGCCAUCACAGACUGGAUUUUGGGAGCAGCCUGAUAACAUUAGCUCUGAAUUAGUAGGACUGCAGUCAGACCCCUGGGAUGGGCACUGUGCUGCAAGAGAGCAUGGCUGGGAGAGAGAGCCCUUUUUCAGCACUAAGGGAGAAUUUUGCUGCAAAGUUUUUGAAGAGGAAACCCUCCCUGCUUUGAGAGGCAGCGGAUUUCCACAGAGCCAUCCACUGCUGCUGUUCCUAGGCAGAAAACCUUUCUUGCCUCAUUGCCACAUGGGACUCAUUCCUUGUCCAGUCAGUGCAGCAUUGUGGCUUUUUCUCACAAAGGCCUGUUGUGGAGUAAGAAGCCUCAUCUACAAGCAUGGUUGUGUACAGACCUCCUUGUAA